GACUCAAGUUAAUGGAGUACGGCGUAAAGAGUGUUUAAGAUUAUACCUUCAAUAAAGCUAACCUAUAACUAAGUCGUAAAAAACCCUGGUUAUGGUAAAAUAUUCUACGAAAGUGGCUUUAAUAUCCUGAAUACACUAAAGCUAAGGCACAAACUGGGAUUAGAUACCCCACUAUGCUUAGCCCUAAACCUCAAUAACUUAAUCAACAAAUUUAUUCGCCAGAACACUACAAGCAACAGCUUGAAAUUCAAAGGACCUGGCGGUGCUUUACAUCCGUCUAGAGGAGCCUGUUCUAUAAUCGAUACACCCCGAUAGACCUUACCACCUCUUGCCCC
This 335-nucleotide ribosomal RNA is filed under the name Alouatta macconnelli. RNAcentral's name for it is "Alouatta seniculus macconnelli partial 12S ribosomal RNA". It matches the Rfam family "Bacterial small subunit ribosomal RNA", at positions 533 to 987 of the family's 1533-position model. The record is from RNAcentral. Lineage: Eukaryota; Metazoa; Chordata; Mammalia; Primates; Atelidae.